This is a non-coding RNA of Chrysemys picta bellii (western painted turtle), 1643 nucleotides long. The record is from RefSeq and is a predicted model, not a curated record. NCBI's taxonomy places the organism in Eukaryota, Metazoa, Chordata, Testudines, Emydidae.
AGCUCUUUGCCCAUUUAGGUAGUAUACUUGAAUUUCUAGACUCACUUGUUGGACAAGAAAUAUAUACAAUUCUAGUUUGUGAAUAAACCCCCUUUCACAAUUUCUCUAACUCAGGCAUCUCUUCACAACACUUAAUUGUUAGCACAGAAAAUAUUUUUCACCAGCUUAUGUUUUACUUCACCGUAAUCUCAAUAGAUUCUUAAUGACCUUUACAAACCCACUUGUGUGACUUCUAUUUGUUUUUGUAAUAAUACUUAGCUCUUCUCAAGUUCAGAAUGCUUUAUAAUCAAUAUCUAUUUAACCUUGCCGCACCUCCUUGACAGAGGUAAGUAAAAUCAUCCAUUGUAUAAAUUUGGAAAAGCUGGGUCUCACAGUAUCCAACAAUGGCAUUUCAUUUGAUUCUAGGUCUGAUAGUUAUUCAAACAUGCAAUCUAUAAUGCUUGCUCACCAGCAACCAAAUCCCUUCAGAUGUUUCUUGUUUGCUUUAUGGACUCAUUCAAACCGUUUUAAGUCAUCUUGUCUCCUUUCUACAGAUGGAGAAGCUGAUCUAUUGAGGUUAAAAGAAUUCCCAAAGCCCUAGAAGGAGUCAUUAUCAGAGGGGACCCAACCAUGUUCAGUGUUAGAUCACACCUCUCCCUUUAGAGAAAAGAAAAUAUGGUGCUAGAUGCAUGUUCAUGAAAGAGUGCUCUGUCCUGCUGUCUCCAAGUAAAGCCAGUGGCUAACCUUCUUGCAUCUUUACAAGGCGGGAGACAUGACGCUAAGAGCAGCCCAGUGCCAGAAGGCAAGGAGCUCACUGGUAUCAGAUUUGUUUGCUUCCCAGCAGAAAAUGAUAGUGAAGUAAAGGGAAGCCGCAAGAGCGGUCACACACCCCUCCCCAGAAGCGCGUAUGCCUCAUUUCCAGUGCCUGGAGCAGCUGGUGGAGAGAAUUCCCUCGAGUACAUCUGAUAGUUCUGUGGAAGUUCCUAACUGAGGGAAAGUCAGCCGUGGCUGGGAAAAAGGAAGACUGGUGACAGAAACCAUCUUGAACAAAGCAUCUACCUUGCUGGAGUGGUCACUUGGUCUCUGGGUGAGAUACUUGGGAGCUGUGCAGGAUGAUCUCAAGGAGCCUCUCAGCUGUGGAAUUCCCUAUCAGCAGAGACAGGGAACCAAGGUGAACACACCAGACGGACCAAGAACCCUGAACUCUCUGACCAGGAACCAUCAACAGGAACCUAGAGCCACUGCUCAGGAACUCGCCAUCAGGAACAGCUCCGCCAAAGACAGGAUCAGGAACGAUGUAGAUUCCUGCAGAAGUGGAGUCCAGUUGAAGAGACACAGAUGGGAUUUGGGGGCAAAGGAGCUGCAGAACUGGCAAGACUGGAGCAGGACAAAAAGUAACAAGUGGCAAGAUUCAGGAGUUGGAUGUACUAUAAAUGCGAUCCACUCAAAUCAUUAGUGUGCGUAUGGCGAUCACAUGGCAAGAUUGUAUAAUCAUCCCUGAGGUUUUAAAAUGGGUCCUUCCAUAUCCUUUUGAAUAAUGCCCAUUUAUCUGUUUGAAAUUACAUCAAUGUUAAUGGACAGUUUUCCUUUUGAGGUGCCUGACACAAGAAGAAUGGUGAACAUCUCUUUAUCUUAAAGCACUUCACAAAAGUACUGAGGUAAUC